This 145-nucleotide unclassified non-coding RNA is filed under the name soil metagenome. Its description in RNAcentral is "partial internal transcribed spacer 1". The record is from RNAcentral.
UAAUAAGUGUUUUAUGGCACUUUUUAAAUCCAUAUCCACCUUGUGUGCAAUGUCAGUCGAUCUUCUUCAUGGAGAUCGACCAAACAUCAACCUUUAUCUUUUAACUCUUUGUCUGAAAAAUAUUAUGAAUAAACAAUUCAAAAUG